AUUGAACGCUGGCGGCAGGCUUAACACAUGCAAGUCGAGCGGGGUGAUGGUGCUUGCACCAUCACUUAGCGGCGGACGGGUGAGUAAUGCUUAGGAAUCUGCCUAUUAGUGGGGGACAACAUCUCGAAAGGGAUGCUAAUACCGCAUACGUCCUACGGGAGAAAGCAGGGGAUCACUUGUGACCUUGCGCUAAUAGAUGAGCCUAAGUCGGAUUAGCUAGUUGGUGGGGUAAAGGCCUACCAAGGCGACGAUCUGUAGCGGGUCUGAGAGGAUGAUCCGCCACACUGGGACUGAGACACGGCCCAGACUCCUACGGGAGGCAGCAGUGGGGAAUAUUGGACAGUGGGGGGAACCCUGAUCUAGCCAUGCCGCGUGUGUGAAGAAGGCCUUAUGGUUGUAAAGCACUUUAAGCGAGGAGGAGGCUCUUUUGGUUAAUACCCAAGAUGAGUGGACGUUACUCGCAGAAUAAGCACCGGCUAACUCUGUGCCAGCAGCCGCGGUAA
RNAcentral lists this ribosomal RNA (503 nucleotides) under uncultured bacterium. Its description in RNAcentral is "partial 16S ribosomal RNA". It matches the Rfam family "Bacterial small subunit ribosomal RNA", at positions 30 to 523 of the family's 1533-position model. The record is from RNAcentral.